RNAcentral lists this unclassified non-coding RNA (516 nucleotides) under Mycocalicium victoriae. Its description in RNAcentral is "sequence contains 18S rRNA gene, ITS1, 5.8S rRNA gene, ITS2, 28S rRNA gene". The stretch from base 207 to 360 matches the Rfam family "5.8S ribosomal RNA". Lineage: Eukaryota; Fungi; Ascomycota; Eurotiomycetes; Mycocaliciales; Mycocaliciaceae. The record is from RNAcentral.
UAGAGGAAGUAAAAGUCGUAACAAGGUCUCCGUAGGUGAACCUGCGGAGGGAUCAUUACCGAGCGAGGGCCCCCGGGCCCGACCUCUCAACCCCAUGUUGCCCGACACUGUUGCCUCGGGGGCGACCCGGCCCUCCGGCGCCGGGGCCCCCGGUGGACCGUUAAACACUGCAUCCGUGCGUCCGAGUCAAAUGAUAAAUCAAUCAAAACUUUCAACAACGGAUCUCUUGGUUCUGGCAUCGAUGAAGAACGCAGCGAAAUGCGAUAAGUAAUGUGAAUUGCAGAAUUCAGUGAAUCAUCGAAUCUUUGAACGCACAUUGCGCCCUCUGGUAUUCCGGGGGGCAUGCCUGUUCGAGCGUCAUUUCACCACUCCAGCCUGGCUGGGUAUUGGGCGUCGCCGCGUCGGCGCGCCCCAAUGUCUCCGGCUAAGCCGUCCGUCUCAAAGCGUUGUGGCAACUCAAUCCGCUUGCGGGACGCGUCGGUUCGACGCCGUUAAAUCCAUCUCAAGGUGACCUCG